Molecule: ribosomal RNA, 678 nt
Filed under: Aeromonas sp.
Lineage: Bacteria; Pseudomonadati; Pseudomonadota; Gammaproteobacteria; Aeromonadales; Aeromonadaceae
Description: partial 16S ribosomal RNA
Rfam family: Bacterial small subunit ribosomal RNA
Source: RNAcentral
GCUAACUUUGCUUACAUUUUGCCGGCNUANCGGUCGNGACGGNUGACAUAAUGCCUGGGGNAUCNGCCCNGUCCAGGGGNAUNACAUAUUGGAAACGACUGCUAAUACCGCAUACUCCCUACNGCCGGAAANCGAGGGGACCUUCGGGCCUUUCGCGAUUGNAUGAACCCAGGUGGGAUUACCUAGUUGGUGGGGUAAUGGCUCACCANGGCGACGAUCCCUAGCUGNUCUGANAGGAUGAUCAGCCACACUGGAACUGAAACACGGNCCAGACUCCUACGGGAGUNAGCAGUGGGGAAUAUUGCACAAUGGGGGAAACCCUGAUGCAGCCAUGCCGCGUGUGUGAAGAAGGCCUUCGGGUUGUAAAGCACUUUCAGCGAGGAGGAAAGGUUGGCGCCUAAUACGUGUCAACUGUGACGUUACUCGCAGAAGAAGCACCGGCUAACUCCGUGCCAGCAGCCGCGGUAAUACGGAGGGUGCAAGCGUUAAUCGGAAUUACUGGGCGUAAAGCGCACGCAGGCGGUUGGAUAAGUUANAUGUGAAAGCCCCGGGCUCAACCUGGGAAUUGCAUUUAAAACUGUCCAGCUAGAGUCUUGUAGAGGGGGGUAGAAUUCCAGGUGUAGCGGUGAAAUGCGUANAGAUCUGGAGGAAUACCGGUGGCGAAGGCGGCCCCCUGGA